GUGGCGUGCGGGGAGGGGUUGGGAAGGAUCGCUGCGGUACCUCUGCCCCGGUGGGACAGGGGAGAGGGAAGGAAGAGAAAAAAGAAAAAAAAAAGCGGGGGAGGAGUCCUGGGCUGAGGUAAAAACGGCUGAACGGGUGAGGAGGAGAGAAGGGAAGCGGAACAGGCAGUGCGGUGACAGCGCUCGAAGGGACGCUCCCCUCCGAGGGGCGUCCAGAUCCCCAGCCAGCUCCUGAGCGAAAAGGGUGGCUUCCCCCUCAUGGCACCUGUCUGCCCUCCGUGCUGCUGAGCGUGGUGUUGUAGCUGAAGCACUGGCGUGUUAGCCACAAAUCUGAAGCGUGGCACCGUGUGAGCUGCCGUGAGGAAAAUUUUCUCCAUCCUGGCCUGACCCAGUCCAAAGUGAUGUGAGGCACAUGCUCAGAGGUGACCCAAAUCACAAUCACUGUGUCCUAGCCAGUUGUGCUCAAAUACGAAGAUAACUGCGUGACACACGAUCG
Anas platyrhynchos (mallard) is the source of this 496-nucleotide long non-coding RNA. RefSeq lists it as uncharacterized. The record is from RefSeq and is a predicted model, not a curated record. Lineage: Eukaryota; Metazoa; Chordata; Aves; Anseriformes; Anatidae.